UGGGGCUUGCAGAGGAGCUGCUUCAGGGAAGAGUGACAUUAGGUGGAGCUUUUGAAGAAAGGUCAGAAGGUAGUGAAACUGACAUUGGAAGGUAGUGAAUGUGGGCCAGUCAGGCGGGGACUGCUGCUCGCAGAGCAGGGACAUAGGUCCGCUGUGUGUGUGGGGGGGGGGUAGCAAGGGACAGGCGGGAGGAGUGUUCCAGCCACUUUCUCAUCCGCCUGUGCAAGCAGCAGAGCCCCUCCCCUGGGUCCCUGUGAGCAGACCUCUGGGGCCAGGUUUUGGUGGAAGCCAAAAUUUGUAGAAAUUAGCUUGUUGUGGGGGGAAUCUUCUCUGAGACCAUUUUUUUUUAGAUUUUUAGAGAAAAAAUGGGGGCAACUCCUUCCUGGGAUGGUGUUUAGGAAUUGGCUGUGGACUAAGGCAACCCCUCAGAAGCACACCACGGCAAGGACAUCCAGGAGGCAGAGGACAGUCCUGAUGGACGGCCUGGUGCUGGACUCUACACUGAGGCCACAGACACAGAGAAAGCCAAGGGUUUCCGGAGAGCUGCCAGGAGGUCGUGCAACUCCACUUCUGUCUGACAAACCAGGAACAAGGUGGUCCAGGCGACAAGUGAGACCACAAGUAUGGGGCGCAGUACCGAGCACACCGUGAGUCCUCCAGUGACUAACGAAUGGACAAAUGGUGUAGAUCGACAUAAAUUGCAGAGGUUACAGAACCUGCCCAUGGUCAGCUGGCAGGUGUGAUGCAGAGGCAGACACUGAGUCUGGACUGGACAAAUCUCCAAGGUCACACUGUUAGACACUGGGGUGAUGUGCCGUAGGUGCCUAAAGUCUGGGUCUGUCCUGUCACAGUUGUAUUUUCAGUAAACACUUGUCAAAUGAAUUUCUUUGAAUGACAGAAGUGAAAACAGGAGAAUGCAUUGCCUUUUGUCUGCUCCUUGAUGCUGGCACAUCUGGCCAUAGUCUUAUGGUUUCUUAUUUGUUUGUUUGUGUUUUGAUUUUGUUUUGAGACAGCAUCUUGCUAUGUAGUCCAAACUGGCCUUGAACUCACUAUGUUGCCAAAGGUAGCCUUGAACUUGUAAUUCUCCUGCCUCAGCUUCCCAAGUGCUGGGAUUAUGGGCAUGCACCACUACACCCAGCACAUAGCAGUAUUUACUGAACCUCUUCUGAGU
This 1171-nucleotide long non-coding RNA is filed under the name Cavia porcellus (domestic guinea pig). RNAcentral's name for it is "lncRNA (ENSCPOG00000035493.1)". Lineage: Eukaryota; Metazoa; Chordata; Mammalia; Rodentia; Caviidae. The record is from RNAcentral.